Molecule: ribosomal RNA, 492 nt
Filed under: uncultured bacterium
Lineage: Bacteria
Description: partial 16S ribosomal RNA
Rfam family: Bacterial small subunit ribosomal RNA
Source: RNAcentral
GACGAACGCUGGCGGCGUGCUUAACACAUGCAAGUCGAACGGAAAGGCCCCCACUUUUUUGGUGGGGGUGCUCGAGUGGCGAACGGGUGAGUAACACGUGGGUGAUCUGCCCUGUACUUCGGGAUAAGCUUGGGAAACUGGUUCUAAUACCGGAUAGGACCAUGGUUUAGUGUCUCAUGGUGGAAAAAUUAUUGUUUUGGUGCAGGAUGAGCUCGCGGCCUAUCAGCUUGUUGGUGGGGUAAUGGCCUACCAAGGCGUCGACGGGUAGCCGGCCUGAGAGGGUGGACGGCCACAUUGGGACUGAGAUACGGCCCAGACUCCUACGGGAGGCAGCAGUGGGGAAUAUUGCACAAUGGGCGCAAGCCUGAUGCAGCGACGCCGCGUGGGGGAUGACGGCCGUCGGGUUGUAAACUCCUUUCGUUAGGGACGAAGCCGCACCUUUUUUGGGUGUGGUGACGGUACCUUUGUGAAGAAGCACCGGCUAACUACGUG